Molecule: long non-coding RNA, 398 nt
Organism: Papaver somniferum (opium poppy)
Lineage: Eukaryota; Viridiplantae; Streptophyta; Magnoliopsida; Ranunculales; Papaveraceae
Exons: 3
Source: RefSeq, a predicted model, not a curated record
AGCACUUGGAAACUGUAAUCAAGUCUCGCAUCCCAGGCCUCCAGUCGCUAAUUAAUAAAAGUAUUGCUGAACUAGAGGCGAAAUUCAGUCGUUUUGGCAAGCCUUUUUCUUCUGAUGCUGGAGGUAAAUUGUACUCAAUUAUGGAGAUUUGUCGUCUUUAUGAUGGAAUUUUCAAAGAACAUCUUGACGGCAUGUAUGUAGCUGGUAGAUUGGAAUGUAGCUGGUGUUACUUUCUGGUAGAUUGGAAUGAACGAUGUUCUUUGUCGUAUGUGAACCAGGGACAAACACAUGGAUGCUCUACUUGAUAUAAAUCAUGAAGUAUUGGCUAAGUUCAUCGUCAUCGGAGGUGCUUAUCGUUUUAUUGUUUAAAAUGUUGUUGUUAGAACUUACUAGCUAGC